GAUGAACGCUAGCGGCAGGCCUAACACAUGCAAGUCGAGGGGUAGCAGGGUAGCAAUAUCGCUGACGACCGGCGCACGGGUGAGUAACGCGUAUGCAACCUUCCUUUAACUGGGGCAUAGCCCGGAGAAAUUCGGAUUAAUACCCCAUAAUAUUUCAGGGACACAUGUUUUUGGAAUUAAAGCUCCGGCGGUUAAAGAUGGGCAUGCGUGCCAUUAGCUAGUUGGUGAGGUAACGGCUCACCAAGGCUACGAUGGUUAGGGGGUCUGAGAGGAUGAUCCCCCACACUGGUACUGAGACACGGACCAGACUCCUACGGGAGGCAGCAGUGAGGAAUAUUGGGCAAUGGGCGCAAGCCUGACCCAGCCAUGCCGCGUGAAGGAUGAAUGCCCUAUGGGUUGUAAACUUCUUUUGUACGGGACGAAACUUUUGGUCGUGACCGAAAUUGACUGUACCGUAUGAAUAAGCAUCGGCUAACUCCGUGCCAGCAGCCGCGGUAAUACGGAGGAUGCAAGCGUUAUCCGGAUUCAUUGGGUUUAAAGGGUGCGUAGGCGGAAUAAUAAGUCAGCGGUGAAAGCCUGUGGCUUAACCAUAGAAUUGCCGUUGAUACUGUUAUUCUUGAGUAUAGUUGAAGUGGGCGGAAUGUGUAAUGUAGCGGUGAAAUGCUUAGAUAUUACACAGAACACCAAUUGCGAAGGCAGCUUACUAAGCUGUUACUGACGCUGAGGCACGAAAGCGUGGGGAGCAAACAGGAUUAGAUACCCUGGUAGUC
Molecule: ribosomal RNA, 770 nt
Filed under: uncultured bacterium
Lineage: Bacteria
Description: bacterial SSU rRNA
Rfam family: Bacterial small subunit ribosomal RNA
Source: RNAcentral